RNAcentral lists this non-coding RNA (22 nucleotides) under Arabidopsis thaliana (thale cress). Lineage: Eukaryota; Viridiplantae; Streptophyta; Magnoliopsida; Brassicales; Brassicaceae. The record is from RNAcentral.
UUCCAAAGCGAUCACAAGAAUC